UACGGAGGGUGCAAGCGUUAUCCGGAUUCACUGGGUUUAAAGGGUGCGUAGGAGGGCAGGUAAGUCAGUGGUGAAAUCCCCGAGCUUAACUUGGGAACUGCCGUUGAUACUAUCUGUCUUGAAUGUUGUGGAGGUGAGCGGAAUAUGUCAUGUAGCGGUGAAAUGCUUAGAUAUGACAUAGAACACCAAUUGCGAAGGCAGCUCGCUACACAAUUAUUGACCCUGAUGCACGAAAGCGUGGGGAUCAAACAGG
Molecule: ribosomal RNA, 253 nt
Filed under: uncultured bacterium
Lineage: Bacteria
Description: partial 16S ribosomal RNA
Rfam family: Bacterial small subunit ribosomal RNA
Source: RNAcentral